UUAAAUUGAAGAGUUUGAUCAUGGCUCAGAUUGAACGCUGGCGGCAGGCCUAACACAUGCAAGUCGAACGGUAACAGGAAGCAGCUUGCUGCUUUGCUGACGAGUGGCGGACGGGUGAGUAAUGUCUGGGAAACUGCCUGAUGGAGGGGGAUAACUACUGGAAACGGUGGCUAAUACCGCAUAACGUCGCAAGACCAAAGAGGGGGACCU
RNAcentral lists this ribosomal RNA (210 nucleotides) under Salmonella enterica subsp. enterica. Its description in RNAcentral is "partial 16S ribosomal RNA". It matches the Rfam family "Bacterial small subunit ribosomal RNA", at positions 1 to 215 of the family's 1533-position model. The record is from RNAcentral. Lineage: Bacteria; Pseudomonadati; Pseudomonadota; Gammaproteobacteria; Enterobacterales; Enterobacteriaceae.